Molecule: ribosomal RNA, 320 nt
Filed under: uncultured Prevotella sp.
Lineage: Bacteria; Pseudomonadati; Bacteroidota; Bacteroidia; Bacteroidales; Prevotellaceae
Description: bacterial SSU rRNA
Rfam family: Bacterial small subunit ribosomal RNA
Source: RNAcentral
GAUGAACGCUAGCUACAGGCUUAACACAUGCAAGUCGAGGGGCAACAUGGAGACAGCUUGCUGUCUCUGAUGGCGACCGGCGCACGGGUGAGUAACGCGUAUCCAACCUUCCCUAUAGUAGAGAAUAGCCCGGCGAAAGUCGGAUUAAUGCUCUAUGUUGUAUUUAGAAGACAUCUGAAGAAUACCAAAGGUUUACCGCUAUAGGAUGGGGAUGCGUCUGAUUAGGUUGUUGGCGGGGUAACGGCCCACCAAGCCUACGAUCAGUAGGGGUUCUGAGAGGAAGGUCCCCCACAUUGGAACUGAGACACGGUCCAAACUCC